Drosophila virilis is the source of this 3972-nucleotide non-coding RNA. NCBI's taxonomy places the organism in Eukaryota, Metazoa, Arthropoda, Insecta, Diptera, Drosophilidae. The record is from RefSeq and is a predicted model, not a curated record.
AAACCAAAUGUCCGCAGACGGUGAAUAGAGUUGCCAGCGGCAUACGUAAUACACUCAGCCACAUCCACAUCCACAUUGACAACGACAACGACAACGACAUCAAUUCGAUUUCGACCUGCUGCUGCCGCCGCCGUCGCCGCCUGGCUCCUCAAACCGAAACCGUUAUACACACUGCUAGCUCCCAUUCCCCUGUGCGGGUCGGAGCCGGGACAGAUGGCUGGCAGCAGCCACACCCGACAUUGCUGCUGCUGCUGCUGAUGAUGAUGAUGAUGAUGGGUCAUCCACUCCUGCUCUUGCUGAGCGGGGCGCUUCCUGUCUGUGCGUGUAAUCGAUAACACCUCUAACGUCGACAACUCUAUCUAGCUUUGCUUGGCUGACCAAAAUAUAUAUAUAUAUAUAUAUAAGAAAGUGAGGUUAAAUACGAAACCAAAAGUAAAAUAUGCCUCAUCAGAAGCGAGCUGCUGCUGGCCCCAUUUGAUUGUGCAAGCGCUGGCGAUGACGACGACGACGAGACCGAUACCGAUACCGAGACCGAGCCAAACGUUGUUUCGCUCGUUGCCAGCUGCAGCAUUCUCUUCUACCCAAUACAAUCCCCGACCCACCGCUCCGCCUUUUCCCUGACCCUGCCUCAGUGGCACUUGCCCGUGAGCAACAUCAUCAUCAUUGGAAAUGGAAACGGAAUCGAGCAUUCGUUUGUGCUUGCUUGUCCAUGCCGUGUGCUCCGGCUCGGUGCCGUCUGCCUCUGGCUUUGCUUGAAGUGCCAAGUCACGAUGCCCGACGACGACGACGCGACGGCCAUCGCCGUUUAUUGGUAUUGGUGUAACGUUGUCGUUGUGGUUGUCGCUGGCGAUGCCUGUGGCUCGCUGGCUGCUGCUGCCGUCGCUGCUGCUGCUGCUGCUUGCUUGCUUGGCUGGUUUGUCGCUCGCUGCUCGAUUGCCGACGUUAACGUCGUUGUCGUCAUCGUCAUCAUCGGCAUUUCGUGUGCUACGUUGGCAUGAAAGUGAGCAGAAACCAUGGGCAGCUGGCGUGCCUGGGAUUCGAUUGCCAUUCCUAUUCCCGUGCAGGCAGCGGGAUUGAGAAACUAGAGAUGAGUCAAGUGCGUGCGUGCAAACGUGAAGCGAAAAGCUAACUUAUCGAAAGUUAAAUUAGUACGCUGUUUACUUGAGAUGCAUGUGCAUUCGAUUGUUUUGAUAAUUGCAAUAAAUGCAAUAGUAAAUAAUUAUAGUCAAAGUAUAGUAUAAUGUUAUAAUUUUCACAAAGCCGAUAUUUCGUGCUAUAACAACAAUCUCUUCUUGUGCACAUCACUAAGCACGACACGAAAAACACCACAAAACGUAGAGAGCAAUGAGCGGCAGCGGCGCCCGAACGGCCAUUCAACGGCAACGGCAACAAAAUUUUCGAGGCCGUCACCAUCGACGAGAUUGAGAGCGUGCCAGAGAGGGCAGGCGGAGACGUUCGUGCGUUUGGCUGUGUGUGCGUGUGUGUGUGUGUGGAGCUUGGGUCGCGCUUGGUUCGUUUCAUAUCGGUUGUGGCUGCCGCUGCGACUAUGUCUGCUGCUGCUGCUGCUGUGCCUGCCCAGCGUCAGAGCAAUUACGUAUAAUUUUUGUGCUCGCCUCGCUUCCAUGGAAUUCGCCGCCAUUGUACAUGAACGCUGGCGAUUCUGGCGGCUUCGCUUGGCAGAGCUGCUGCUGGCUGCUGACCAGUUCCAGUCACCAGUCGCUGUCGCAGUUGCAGUCGCAAUACCAAGCCCAUGCCCAGAGUCAACUCCAAGUCUCGAUUAAUAUCAGCAUCUGACCAAGCCCAGCGUCCAGUCUAUUUCCGUUUGCUCUCAGCUUGCCCGCCCCCUUGCCAUGUUGAUGCCUCUCUAUCUCUCUCCCUAUGGGCUCUCUCAUGCUUGCGCGCGCGCUCUGGUCGUGUCCUUCACUGGCUUCCAUUUGUGACUCCUCGCUGGGGCCCAUGAUAUCCGGUGCAGGCACCUCUGGGGCAAAGCGGCAGCCGCACAAAAGCGAAUACGCAAAACGAAACGACAAAAGAAAAAAAAGUAAAAACCGAAAUAAAUAAAAAUGAAGAGGAGUAAAGUAAAAAGAAGUACAGCAAAUGAAACUGCCUUCUGGAUUUGUGUGCUUCGCUAGCUACGCUUAUUUGCCUGGUGCUCUCGGCUCGGUUAUUGAUUCUUUCAUUUGGCAGGCACAGCUGAGCCAGCAGGCAGCCAGGCAGCCAGACGACGGCCAACCAAGCUAGGCAGGCAGUUAGUCAGGCAGGCAGGCAGGCAGGCAAACCCAGAGUCGCCCUCGUCAUCCACUUUUCGUUCAACACAAAAUGGUUGCCUGCUGCUCGAGUUCGAAACUCAGCACAGCUCGGCGCGACGCGACGCAACGACUCUCUGGACUGCGCCCCCGGCAACGACAUCAUCAUCUACGUCGGCGUCGUCGUCGUCGUCGUCGGCACGUUGCUGCUGCGUGUGCUUGGUGCUUGGUGCUUGGCGCUGGCACUGGGUUGCUCUUUGGUUUCGCUUUGGCUCGAUUUCAUGGUGAAUACACCAGCAACCAGCAACCAGCAGCAGCAGCAGCUCAACCAAUACACACACACACACACACACACACACACACACACACACACGUGUGUGUAUGUACGAGCAUUUCCACACAAGCGACCAUUUGGUUGGCGUCAUCGCUGUGCGGUUCGCUUGUUAUCUGGAGGCGGACCACAUGCACACACACACACCAACACCAACACACACAUACGCACAAAGCACAGAGUAGAACAUCAGCCGAGGGCAGGGCAGAACAAACGUCGUAUAUACGAGUGGUUGUGUAUGUUUUUUGUUGUUGCUCGCUCUGUUCAAGCAGAUUAACCUGGGCAUGGAAGUUGCAGUUGUUGCCAGUUGCCAGUUGCCUGCGUUCCGCAUCGAAUUUCGGAUACACAUCAUCAUCAUCAUCGUCAGUGCCCAAGUUAAGUUCAGGUGAAAAAGCCAAACUUUCUCUGAUCAGAAGCGCUUUUUUGUGGGCUGUGGAGUGUGGGAGGGGGGAGAGAUAGAGAUGACACUGAUUAAGUAAACCUCAUUUUACCCCCUUUGGCUUUGCAUUUAUCCGUUACAAAAACCGUAUUGUCAAUGUUUUGCAUAGAAUCGAUAACUAAAUAAUUUAUCGAUGCUAGAUGUUGGUAAGAAAUGCACUUGCCUGACGUUUGCAGUCGCGUCGUUGUCUGCGUAAUUCAAUACGACAACAACAAACGGUAAAGAUCAACAGCACACGGCUUGCUAAUGCUUAGGGUUAGUUUUGUUGGAGAGAGGACACACAUACACACAGCUGACGACGAAUAAGGACACAAAGGCAAAUACGGCAAUGAAGAAAAAUAAAAACGAUAACAAGCAAGCAGAACCGAAAACUUGUUCAGCUUCGAGAUCAUGCGGCGUUGCGGCAACGCCAGGACAGGCUGUUCCCGAGCGACGCCUUAAUUCUGGCCAGCAUCUUCUCUGCUUCGUGCCCUCAUGGCGGCGCAGCGGCGCUGAUGAUGAUUGUUGCACCUGGUGGCCAACAAAAUGCAGCAGCUGGCAACUGUGCCAACUGUGGCAGCUGCUUCUGCAUCUUGUUUGUAUUGAUGGAUGAAAGAUUUCCUUUUCAACUUCAACUUUCUAAAACGCCUGCCUGAUGGCCCAAACAAUUUGUGCCCUUUUCCCCUGUUAUGAAUGCUGUCUGUUCACGCAAAAUGAAAAUGCUUGCAAAUUUAUCAAAACAAAAUUCCUUCUGUUUGAUUAUUCGCUUUGCUUCAAGUUUGCAAUAUUAUAUAAGCUCUCCAAAAUAGUAUGCUUGUGUACAAAUUUAGGUUUUUAUUUUUAUUUUUACAACAACUGAGAAUUUCUGCAUAGCAGAAUGCCUUAUUUCGCAAUUGCCCAAACAUCUGUUCGAUGCUGCGAUUUAAUACUAAAAAGAAAUACAUUAAAUACUAGAUGAGUUAUGUAAUUGACAAUAA